RNAcentral lists this ribosomal RNA (200 nucleotides) under uncultured bacterium. RNAcentral describes it as "partial 16S ribosomal RNA". It matches the Rfam family "Bacterial small subunit ribosomal RNA", at positions 8 to 221 of the family's 1533-position model. The record is from RNAcentral.
AGAGUUUGAUCAUGGCUCAGAAUGAACGUUGGCGGCGUGGAUUAGGCAUGCAAGUCGAACGGGCCGCAAGGCCAGUGGCGGAAGGGUGAGUAAGGCGACGGUAACCAACCCCAGGGUUGGGCAUAGCCGGGGGAAACCCCGGGUAAUUCCCAGCGACGCGGCGGCCUGGCAUCGGGCUGCCGCCAAAGAUUUAUCGCCCU